GAGGAAUAUUGGGCAAUGGGCGAAAGCCUGACCCAGCAACGCCGCGUGAGGGAUGAAGUAUUUCGGUAUGUAAACCUCGAAAGAAUGGGAAGAAUAAAUGACGGUACCAUUUAUAAGCUCCGGCUAACUACGUGCCAGCAGCCGCGGUAAUACGUAGGGAGCAAGCGUUGUUCGGAUUUACUGGGCGUAAAGGGCGCGUAGGCGGCGCGGUAAGUCACUUGUGAAAUCUCUGAGCUUAACUCAGAACGGCCAAGUGAUACUGCUGUGCUAGAGUGCGGAAGAGGCAACCGGAAUUCUUGGUGUAGCGGUGAAAUGCGUAGAUAUCAAGAGGAACACCUGAGGCGAAGGCGGGUUGCUGGGCCGACACUGACGCUGAUGCGCGAAAGCCAGGGGAGCAAACG
This 401-nucleotide ribosomal RNA is filed under the name uncultured bacterium. RNAcentral's name for it is "bacterial SSU rRNA". It matches the Rfam family "Bacterial small subunit ribosomal RNA", at positions 356 to 774 of the family's 1533-position model. The record is from RNAcentral.